UUAGAGUUUGAUCCUGGCUCAGGAUGAACGCUGGCGGCGUGCCUAACACAUGCAAGUCGAGCGGAGAUUGAUUUAGAGUAUUCGUACGAAGAAUUAAUUUUAGCGGCGGACGGGUGAGUAACACGUGAGCAACCUGCCUUUUACAGGGGAAUAACACCGUGAAAACGGUGCUAAUACCGCAUAAUAUCGAGAUAUGGCAUCAUAUUUUGAUCAAAGGAGCAAUCCGGUAAAAGAUGGGCUCGCGUCCGAUUAGUUAGUUGGUGGGGUAAUGGCCUACCAAGACCGCGAUCGGUAGCCGAACUGAGAGGUUGAUCGGCCACAUUGGGACUGAGACACGGCCCAGACUCCUACGGGAGGCAGCAGUGGGGAAUAUUGGGCAAUGGGGGAAACCCUGACCCAGCAACGCCGCGUGAAGGAAGAAGGCCUUCGGGUUGUAAACUUCUUUGAUCAGGGAAGAAACAAAUGACUGACCUGAAAAACAA
Molecule: ribosomal RNA, 482 nt
Filed under: uncultured bacterium
Lineage: Bacteria
Description: bacterial SSU rRNA
Rfam family: Bacterial small subunit ribosomal RNA
Source: RNAcentral